UUUAAAGUCUGACCUGCCCAAUGAGGAUUUGAAUGGCCGCGGUAAUUUGACCGUGCAAAGGUAGCAUAAUCAUUAGUUUUUUAAUUGAAAGCUGGAAUGAACGGUUGGACGAGAAAGUGACUGUCUCAAUUUAAUUGAAUUCUGAAUUUUAUUUUUAAGUUAGAAAGCUUAAAUUUUUUUAAAAGACGAGAAGACCCUAUAGAAUUUUAUACUUUUUUUUAUAAAUAAUUUUUAGUAUUAUAUUUGACUUAUAAAUGAAGGUGUUUUGUUGGGGUGACAGGAAAAUUAAGUAAACUUCUUCUUUUUAGAACCAUUGAUUUAUGAAUAUUUGAUCCAUUUAAGUUUGAUUAAAAGAUAUAAUUACCUUAGGGAUAACAGCGUAAUUUUUUUUGAGAGUUCUUAUCGAAAAAAGAGUUUGCGACCUCGAUGUUGGAUUAAAGUUAACUUAUGGUGUAGGGGCUAUAACGUUAAGUCUGUUCGACUUUUAAAACUUUACAUGAUCUGAGUUUAAACCGGCGUGAGCCAGGUUGGUUUCUAUCUUUAAAUAAUUUAAUUACUUUAGUACGAAAGGACCAGGUAAUUGUAAAAUUUAUUAUAUUCUGAAUUUUAUUA
RNAcentral lists this ribosomal RNA (612 nucleotides) under Anticheira sp. FrG1. Its description in RNAcentral is "partial 16S large subunit ribosomal RNA". It matches the Rfam family "Bacterial large subunit ribosomal RNA", at positions 1844 to 2731 of the family's 2925-position model. Lineage: Eukaryota; Metazoa; Arthropoda; Insecta; Coleoptera; Scarabaeidae. The record is from RNAcentral.